RNAcentral lists this ribosomal RNA (253 nucleotides) under uncultured bacterium. Its description in RNAcentral is "partial 16S ribosomal RNA". It matches the Rfam family "Bacterial small subunit ribosomal RNA", at positions 524 to 776 of the family's 1533-position model. The record is from RNAcentral.
UACGUAGGGUGCGAGCGUUAAUCGGAAUUACUGGGCGUAAAGCGUGCGCAGGCGGCGCGUUAAGACAGGUGUGAAAGCCCCGAGCUUAACUUGGGAAUUGCGCUUGUGACUGGCGUGCUGGAGUGUGGGAGAGGGAUGCGGAAUUCCAGGUGUAGCGGUGAAAUGCGUAGAUAUCUGGAGGAACACCGGUGGCGAAGGCGGCAUCCUGGACCAACACUGACGCUGAGGAGCGAAAGCCAGGGGAGCAAACGGG